CACAUGCAAGUCGAGGGGCAUCAUGAGGUAGCAAUACCUUGAUGGCGACCGGCGCACGGGUGAGUAACGCGUAUGCAACCUGCCCGAUACCGGGGUAUAGCCCAUGGAAACGUGGAUUAACACCCCAUAGUACUUUUAUCCUGCAUGGGAUGUGAGUUAAAUGUUUAAGGUAUCGGAUGGGCAUGCGUCCUAUUAGUUAGUUGGCGGGGUAACAGCCCACCAAGACGAUGAUAGGUAGGGGUUCUGAGAGGAAGGUCCCCCACAUUGGAACUGAGACACGGUCCAAACUCCUACGGGAGGCAGCAGUGAGGAAUAUUGGUCAAUGGACGAGAGUCUGAACCAGCCAAGUCGCGUGAGGGAAGACUGCCCUAUGGGUUGUAAACCUCUUUUAUAAGGGAAGAAUAAGUUCUACGUGUAGAAUGAUGCCUGUACCUUAUGAAUAAGCAUCGGCUAACUCCGUGCCAGCAGCCGCGGUAAUACGGAGGAUGCGAGCGUUAUCCGGAUUUAUUGGGUUUAAAGGGUGCGUAGGCGGUUUAUUAAGUUAGUGGUUAAAUAUUUGAGCU
This 563-nucleotide ribosomal RNA is filed under the name uncultured Bacteroidales bacterium. Its description in RNAcentral is "bacterial SSU rRNA". It matches the Rfam family "Bacterial small subunit ribosomal RNA", at positions 52 to 609 of the family's 1533-position model. The record is from RNAcentral. Lineage: Bacteria; Pseudomonadati; Bacteroidota; Bacteroidia; Bacteroidales.